GGAGAUUAAGCGUGUUGUGAAAUGUAGACGCUCAACGUCUGCACUGCAGCGCGAACUGGUUUCCUUGAGUACGCACAAAGUGGGCGGAAUUCGUGGUGUAGCGGUGAAAUGCUUAGAUAUCACGAAGAACUCCGAUUGCGAAGGCAGCUCACUGGAGCGCAACUGACGCUGAAGCUCGAAAGUGCGGGUAUCGAACAGGAUUAGAUACCCUGGUAGUCCGCACGGUAAACGAUGGAUGCCCGCUGUUGGUCUGAAUAGGUCAGCGGCCAAGCGAAAGCAUUAAGCAUCCCACCUGGGGAGUACGCCGGCAACGGUGCAACUCAAAGGAAUUGACGG
This 336-nucleotide ribosomal RNA is filed under the name uncultured Bacteroidota bacterium. RNAcentral's name for it is "bacterial SSU rRNA". It matches the Rfam family "Bacterial small subunit ribosomal RNA", at positions 578 to 916 of the family's 1533-position model. Lineage: Bacteria; Pseudomonadati; Bacteroidota. The record is from RNAcentral.